GACACAUUGGGGGCAGUAGUCGCGGUGAGACGGGGGGGUAAAGCGUUAGCCGGAAGUAUUGGUCCGACGGGGGGCGUAGGCGGCAUGUUAAGGCUGUGGUUAAAUAGCCCGGCCUAACGGGGAAAAGACAAGUGAUACUGGUGUGCUUGAGGGUGGAAGAGAGAAGCGGAAUUCUCUGAGUAGCGGUAAAAUGCGUAGAUCUCGAGAGGAACACCGAUGGCGAAGGCAGCUUCUUGGUCCAUACCUGACGCUGAGGCGCGAAAGCGUGGGGAGCAAACAGGAUUAGAUACCCUAGUAGUC
This 300-nucleotide ribosomal RNA is filed under the name uncultured Rhodoblastus sp. Its description in RNAcentral is "bacterial SSU rRNA". It matches the Rfam family "Bacterial small subunit ribosomal RNA", at positions 496 to 795 of the family's 1533-position model. Lineage: Bacteria; Pseudomonadati; Pseudomonadota; Alphaproteobacteria; Hyphomicrobiales; Rhodoblastaceae. The record is from RNAcentral.